UCAGAUUUGAUUCACAGUAGAAAAUCCCAAAACAAUUGUAAUAAUCUCUCAAAAAAUAACUGUAAAGUUUAAGUCAAAAAACUAGAGAGAAGAGAUUCUCAAAACGUCCGUUCCACCCCUUAUGAUUAGAAAACCCUAACAUAUGCUUUAAAUACUUCAGCGUAAUUAUGGAAACAAAAUCAUAGAUAACAGUAUUUUUUCAAACAGGAGACGAUGUGUAUGAUGGCUUAUCAGGAGUCUGACGACUUAUGAGGAAUGUCGUCAACUCCUCUUCACUUUUGACAAUAUCUGUCUUAGGUUGACGAUGAGAUAAGACAACUUAUCAGACAUAUGACGACUUAUCAGAAUUUUUGUCGCUUCUUCACUUCAAAUCCCACUCUCUGCCUAAGCCUAAUGAUGAGCCUAAUGGCUUAUCACACAUUUGAUAGCCUAUCAUGAAUAUCAUCACGAAUUCCAGCUGAAGCCCAUUCUCUGUCUAAGCCUGACGACGAGCCUGGCGGCUUAUCAUACUUCUAAUGGCCUAUCACAGAUGUUGUCAGAAAUUCCAGUAGAAAUCCAUUCUCUGUCUAAGGCUGACGGCAACUCUGAUAGCUUAUCACAAGGCUGACGACUUAUCAGAUAAGUCGUCAUCUAUAUAUCCCGCUCUACUUGCUCAGAAAUCAACUCUUUUACUUCCAUUAUUGCUGGUUCUCUUGCAUCUUGACUUUUACUGCAACAUCAAAUGUUAAAUAAUCAAAAACGAUAAAAGUUGAUUAGUACUUUGCAAUUAUUCUUAGUUAAAAGCAUCAAAUGUGUUAGCAUCUUCUCACACAUCAACAUCCUCAACUUAAAACAAUUUUUUGUCCUCAAGCAACUAAAACGCAACUAAGAGGAUAUAGAGUACAUUCGGUAGUCAACCAUCCAUAUUAUUUCAAAACAUCUUCACCAUCUCCAAGGUCAAUUAAUUUAAAAAAAAACAAUUGUGCAUAUUAUUGAAGAACAACAAUGUGACACACAGGAAUCAAGAUAUGGCAUCAAUUCAGCAACAACAACCAUGCAUGUACCAAUAUUACACUAAACAAGUUAGCAACUAGAAAUGUAACCAGUGUGUCCUCACUACAAAGAAGUUUCACUCCACUUAUAUCAGAUAUCACAUAUGUAACCAUGGGGACAAUCAAAAGACACUUACUCUCAGAAUGAAGUUCCAAUCAAUGUAUGCCAAAUACUAUAGGCUUUCCCUUAUUUUCAUUACCAAGAUUUUCAAACAGGUCAGCUAGGACCACUAUAGGUCUUCUCUUUAGCUUGUAAUGUAGGCUAGGGGCUGGUAUGAUACUCGAUGAUAUUUAAAGUGACUAAGCCUCCUUUAUACUACACUAGAUUCUGGAGUCUCACUUAUUAACCUUUUUCUAUUCUUCUCUUUUCUUGAUCACACAUAUUCAAGAUGGGUGUGGUCUUUUCUCCAAACACUUCUUUUUUUUCACAACUUUUAUUUUCUUGUUCUUUUCCACCACACCCAACUUUUUAGUCCUUUCUUUUAUUCUACCUUUCUUCAUACUCAUUUUAUAUCACGCACCUCUAUGAUAUCCACCCUCAACUUAGGCCAUUUGCCUAAGUCAAGGAACACAGUGUCCAAGGAGGACCAGGGUGAAAACAGGUUCAUUAUGAUAUAAAUGAGACGGUGAUAGGUAUUAUAAAAAAAAAAAGAAAUAGGCUAUUCAGGCUCAAAAUAGGGAUCAAGAGAUAUUAUGCAUAUAGGGAAAGUCAUUUGGGCUAAAAGUGGCUAAUAUCAAAACGUCCUAUGAUCCUUUACUAACCCCUAUCCUUCAAUCUAGGUAAGACUAACCGGGCAAGUUCUAGAUUCAACAUACAAAGGGAACUAAGUAAGAUCUCAUACGCACAUGGAACACAAGUAUUUCACAAGUUACUACUUAUCCAAUUCAUGCAAAUGUUUAGCAAUGAUUAUCAAGUCACUAGAACUGAUACAAUAACAAGAUACACAGUGGUCACAAUUAGAUGCAAAUCACACAGUUAAACAAUUAGACCACUUGAGAGGUGUUCACAAAAUAACAAAACCACGUUAACUGCCUUAGGUACUUGUAUUUCUCCUAGUCAACCACAAAAUGUUACAACAAUAACUCACCCUACACCCUCAACUUAAAAUCAAAGAAAAACUGAACUAAAGGUUAGGGUAUACUUAGAGUAAAUCAAGCACGAGGAUCAUGGGUUGCCUCCCAUGUAGCAACUAAUUUAACGUCGCGGUACGACUCAGGUAUCUCGAUUACUUUAGACUUUAUUGAGACAGGUAGUAGCAACACUUUUUAUCUAGUCUUUUGGACCGAUAUAAAGUUUGACUCAUUGCCCAUUAACCAUGAAGAUAUUGCCGUCUUUAUUUUCAAGUUCUACUAUUCCAGAUAAGUAGACUUGACUAACUCUAAAUGGGCCUGACCACUUGGAUUUGAGCUUACCUGGGAACAGUUUGAGUUUGGAAUUGAACAGAAGUACCAAGUCAACUUCUUGGAAAUCUCGUUUCUCGAUCCUCCGAUCAUGAUGCUUCUUCAUAUUUUCUUUGUAUAAGUCUACACUUUCAUAUUCCCUGAGAAGGAAUUCAUCCAUCUUAUUAAGUUGUCCCAUUCUUAGCUCUGCUGCCUCCUUCCAAUUCAAACUUAACCUUUUAAGUGCCUAUAAAGCCUUGUGCUCCAGCUCUAUUGGUAAGUGGUAUGCUUUUCCAUACACUAACUAGAAUAGUUACAUGCCAAUGGGUGUCUUGAAAGUGGUCAGAUAUGCCCACAUGGCAUCAUCGAGCAUUUGAGACCAGUCUUGCCGACUAGCGUUCACCGAUUUAGCUAGGAUGGCUUUAAUCUCUUGAUUUGACACCUCCACUUUCCCACUAGUUUAUGGACUAUUUGGAGUAGCUACUCUAUUCUAUUUCACCCAUAUUUUGCUAAGGCAUCUCAAAACACUUUGUUGUAAAAAUGAGAUCCUUCAUCGCUUAUAAUAGUAUGUGGUACUCCAAAGUGAGAGAAGAUGUUCUUCUUAAGAAAAGCAACGACCCUCUUUCGAGACAUAGUCAAUAGCAACUAAAAUAUACUUCUUCCUAUACGAGCUUACAAAAGGACCCAUGAAAGAUACCCCAGACGUUAAACAAUUCCACUUCAAACAUCUUAGUCAAAGGCAUCUCAUGUCUUUUGGAGAUCGACCCCUGCCUCUGACAUUGGUCGCAUUUCAGCACAAACUCAUGAGCAUCCUUGAACAAUAUUGGUCAAUAGUAGCCACUCUGCAAUACCUUCCUAGCCGUUCGGUCACCUAUAUGGUGACCUCCAACUGGGGAAGCAUGACAUGCUUCCAAUAUACAUAACACAUCUACUUCUGGCACAUAUCUCCUUAUAAUAUUGUCAGGACAUCGUCGAAAAAAAUACGGCUCAUCCCAGAAGAAUGUGUCACAUUAUAAAGGAAUUUCUUUCUUUGAUGGAAAGAAAGGUUUUCUGGAAUGACCUCACUCACAACAUAAUUUGCAAAAUCAGCGUACCAAGGCAUUUUCUCCAUAGAAGCAACCAAGAUCUCCUCAUUAGGAAAUGUAUCAUUUAUCUUCAUUUUAUCACUAGCUGCCUACUCACCUUCCAUUCUAGACAGAUGAUCUGCAAUUUGGUUUUUGCAACCCUUUCUAUCUUUGACUUCAAUGUCAAAUUCUUGUAGUAGCAAUACCUAUCUAAUCAGCCUUGGUUUUGCAUCCUUCUUAGCCAUUAAACACCUUAAGGCUGUAUGAUCAAUGUGGACCACCACCUUGGUCCCAAGCAGGUAAGCCCUAAAUUUCUCAAAAACAUACACUACAGCUAGAGAAUGAUGCCCUCCUUUACUAUAAAGUGGUAUUUCUCCCAAUUAAGCACCAAAUUAAAUUCAACACAUAGUUGUAAGGCCAUACUCAGGUUUACCAAACAUAGCUAAAAUGAAUCUCCCACCACAGAGAAAUCAUCCAUGAAUACCUUUAAGGUGUCCUCCACUAUAUCUGAGAAAAUAGACAUCAUGCACCGUUGAAAAGUAGCGGGUGCAUUGCAUAGCCAAAACGGCAUUCUCUGAAAUGUAAAUAUGCCAUAUGGGCAUAUGAAUAUCAUCUUCUCCUGAUCUUUAGGAUAAAUACAGAUCUGGUUAUAUCCAGAAUAACUGUAUAAGAAGUAAUACCACCCCCUUCCGGCUAAUCGAUCAAGUAUUUGGUCCAUAAAGGGCAUCAGAAAGUGGUCUUUCAAAGUCCAUGAGUUUAGUUUGCGGUAGUCCAUGCAAAAUCUCCACUUAAUCAUAGGCCUGAGUGGAAUUAACUCAUUCUUUUCAUUUGCAAAAAUAGUCAUGCCUUCUUUUUUGGGCACACAUUGAACUGGGCUCACCCAUUUACUGUCAGAAAUUGGGUUAACCACUCAUGCAUCCAACCACUUAAUAAUUUCCUUAUUAACCACCUCUUGUAUUGGUGGGUUAAGAUGGCACUGGUGCUCGAUGGUUGGAGUACAAUCUUCCUCAAGUUGUAUUUUAUACGUGCAGAUGCCAGGGGGAAUGCUAAUAAUAUCUACGAUAUUCCAUUUUAUUGCUCUUUUGUACCUCUGAAGUACUGAAAUAAGUGCUUCUACCUGAUGCUCACCCAAAUCAUCUAUAAUAAUAAUGGGUAGCAUGUUUUCGUUGCCAAAAAAACAUACCUUAAAUGCCCCGACAGUUCCUUCAAUUCCAACACUGGUGGCUCUUCAAUGGAUGGCUUAGCCGAUGGUGUUGGUCGAUUAGCAAGAUCAAGAUCUAGCUUCUUAGGAGCAUAGGAGUAUGAACUCAUUAUUGACAAAGCACAAACAAUCAUUUAUUUAUGCUGCGGCUAAAGGCUCAACAAUAAGUUUCUCCUCUAUUGACACCUCUUUCUUAUCCUCAUAAUAUACAUCAACAAUUGAGGAAACACUCAUUUCUUUAUGUUGCUUCAUUAAUUUGCACACACCAAAUCACACCACCUCAUCAUUCAUCCUAAAUAAGAGAUCAUUAGCUUACAAAUCAAUCAACACACUUUCGGUUGUGAGGAAAGGUCGACCCAAGAUUAUGAGCACCUCAAAGUCCACCUUGCAAUCCAGAAUGAUGAAAUCCACAGGAAAUAUAAAGCUAGAUACCUUCACCAACACAUCAUACAAAAUACCAAUAGGUCAUUUUACUACCCUAUCCGCCAUCAUGAGUCACAUGUUGGUAGGUAUAGGAUUUCACAAACCCAGAUUUUUAUAUACAGCCAGUGGCAUCAGAUUAAUGUUCACUCCCAAAUCAUAUAAGGCCAUAGCGAAUUCCAGAGACCCAAUCAUAUAAGGAAUAAUGAAUGCUUCUAGGAAUGCCUUCUUCUGCACCAAGGACCUCAUAGAAAUAGCGCUACAAUAAUAGAGAAAUACCUCGUAGAUAACUGCUCCUCCUCUUCUCCUUAAGGCUUUAAGGCGAACCGUAUAACGGCUGGAAGGAAAUAUAAUCUCACCUUGUCUGGUGAUUAUCCUCCAGUUCAAAACUCACUGCUCUUUUCUUCGUCACAAGGUCCUUUAUGAAUUUAGCAUACCCUGGCAUUUGCUCGAGUGCCUCCACAAAAGGAACAUUUAUUGUUAACUACUUCAACAUUGCCAUGAAUUUACUAAAUUUGAUGUCAUCAACCUUCUUCUUCAAUCUUUGAGGAAAAGGAGGUGGUGGUCUUGGGAGAGUUUUCACCACUAUUUUUUUUUCCUUCUCUUUCCAUGUUUUGGAGCAUCAUCAGAACCAUCCAGCUUCCCAUACUCCACUAGACAUUCUUCUUUGGGUUCAUCAUCUUCUUCAAUCAAACCUUUUCCCAUAGAAGGGCCAGGUAAUAUUUUACCACUCCUAGUGGUAAUUGCCAUACAUGAGCCAUCAUUCUUUGGAUUAUGAACCAUAUUACUAGGUAACAUUCCACUCUUCCUUUGGUUCAGUGCUACAGAGAGUUGGCUCAUUUAUUAUUCCAACUAUUUGAUUAAAGUAGAGUGCAAGACUACCAACCCACUCAUAGAGGAAAUAUCGGUCUUCAUGGUAGUCACCCCUGAGUUGGUAUCCUUUACUCUCUUUAACAAUUUAUCCAUUAUGUCCUCCUGGAACAUCUUUUCAAAAUGUCUUGUAGUAGCCUCACGAUUUCCAAGAGGGACAUACAACCCGCUCCUAUCAUUAUUACUCCUCUAAUUACCUUGCUCCUGGUUUUUAUAUCCAGACUUAUAUUAAUAAGUCUGACCUUGAUUUCCUUGGAUAUUUCCUUGGAAAACCCCCUAAUUAUUUAUAUAGUCCACCUCUUCUUCUGAGUCAGACUCUACUUUGCUCUGCGAUCCCAUAGCCUUCACCUUCUCAGUUUUACCUGAUAGUAAAUGCUUGGUUAGCAAGUCCAUCUGCAAUUUUUGGUGAGCCAUGUUUUGAUCACGUACCUCAUCUUUUCUGUGUUGUUCUGCAGUCAUACCAACAGAAAUAGUGGGGCUUGCUACCAUAGAGUCCCUGGCAUGCCAUGCCUAACUCUGUUUGGUCAUUUUCUCAAGCAUUUCUGAAGCCUGUAGGAAUGUAAGAUCAACAAACAAACCACCAGCAUCAUUAUCUACAAUUUGUUUUGUCACAAAGUUAAAAGCCCUAUACAAAGUCUCCAUCAAGUGUAUGUCUGUCAUGUUGUUAUUCGGAUACUACGUCAGCUUCUUUUUGAAUCUCUCCAAGGUUUCAUGCAAGGCUUCAGUUGGGAGCUGUCUAAAGUUGCUGAUCUCAUCCCUCAACCAUACCCUCUUAGAAGGUGGAAAGAACCUUUCGAGGAAAGCUCCUUUUAACUGCCUCUAGUUGGUUAUAGAAUCGGGUGUCAGCUCAUUAAGCCAUAAUAUUGCCUCCCCAAACAGAGACAACGGAAAUAGUCUCAAAAGGAUAGCAUUCUGACCCACUCUUGGGCUAUUAAAAUCUUUAUAAAUGGUGACAAAGUCACCAGAUGUAAGUUUGGAUCAUCCCCAGGAAGGCCACCAACAACCCCUUCAGAUUGAGAAAUUGAAUCAUAGUACUCUUAAUGUUGAAUUUUGCCCCAGGUGCUAACGGUUGAGGAAUAAUUGCACCCUUUGCACCUGAUCCAUCCAUUUCAUCAUCAUCAUCACUGAGGUUAUAUUGGACCGUCUGGUGAUUUUGCCUUUCUCAGAACGGAUGGUUCCUGUUAGCAUUACGUUGUACUGGUGCAUCUAUUUUCUCUGCAUGCCUUGGGUUACCGAGGUUUAGCAACUCCUCAUCUCCCGAUUCGUCAUCCUUAAGAUUUGGAUGUUGUACUUGUUGACCGUUAUUCUAUAUAUUCACUUGAGCUCUAGCUAAGGCUGCUAACCUAUCAGCCUCCUGCUGGUCUGCCAUUCUGCCGAUUAGUUAUAGUUUCGAAUUAAAUGGUAAUAAUAGUUCUCCAAAACUUAUGGUUCUUGGCUUGCAACACAAAAUUCCUACAACAAAAAAAACAACAAAUAAAUGUAAAACUAGGAAACUUGACUAAAAGUCAAUUAGCACACACAACUUCAAUUUACAACUGUAUUCCCCGGAAAUGGCAUUAUUUUUAAUAACGCUCAAACUAAACCUCUCUUAUUAGAAUAUAAGUGAUCGUUGUCAAUAAAUAAACCAACUAGGUUAGGGUCGAAUCCCAUAGGGAAUAUGGUGUGAAUUUGAGUUAUCUACGGGUUAAUUAACUGAUAGUUAUCAAUUUCCUGUAAAUGGGGUUUUUGGAAAGGUAACAAAUAAUUACUUCUCAAUUCAGUGUUUGAAAUCAAUAUGAUAAGGAAAACCAGAGUUAUGUUCACUAUGGGUGUUGGGAUUUAACAGACGCUAGUAACAGUUUAAGAUUCUUGUGGUAGGUAGGAACAGAAGAAUAUCCUUGUCGAAGUUAUGUCUAAAUAUUUAUCAACCUAUUUAUACAUUUAACCACCUAAUUCGCUCGAACUUAGGGAAUUUAUAUUUCAUAACAGGAUGUUAUCUCAAGUUAAUUAAUCUUGUUACAGCAUUAAUUAUUAAAUGGAAGUUUGAUGCUUCCAAGUCCCAGUUGAUAAUUCACUUCUUACUAAGGUUGAUUUUUUAUCUCAAUAAAAUCACCAGUAAGCAAGGCCUAUUGUUUUCAACCAAUAGUAAGAGUAUAAAAUAAUGGAAUUAACAAGAAGUGUCUACCACCGUUAGAAUCUUGAACACUUAGUUACGUUACAAACCCAAACCCAUAGAUCCCAUAACUCGGGUUAAGGGAAUUUAGCUACUCAUAAUAAAAUAAUCAAGACAACAAUUUGAAUUCAUAGUUUGAUAUAUGAACUGACAACAAGAUGAAUAGCAACAAGUGAUUCUCAGAUUUGAUUCACAGUAGAAAAUCCCAAAACAAUUAUAAUAAUCUCUCAAAAAAUAACUGUAAAGUUUAAGUCAGAAAACUAGAGAGAAGAGAUUCUCAAAACGUUCGUUCCACCCCUUAUGAUUAGAAAACCCUAACAUAUUCUUUAAAUACUUCAGCCUAAUUAUGGAAAAAAAUCAUAGAUCACAGUUUUUCUCAGAUAGGCGAUGACAUGUGCGAUGGCUUAUCAGGAGUCUGACAACUUAUCAAGAAUGUCAUCAGCUCCUUUUCACUUUUAACAAUCUCUGCCUUAGGUUCACGAUGAGACGUGAUGGCUUAUCAGACAUAUAACGACUUAUCAUAAUUAUCGCCACUUUUACACUUUAAAUCUCAUUUCCUUUUUAAGCCUAACGCUGACCAUAAUGGCUUAUCAUACUUCUGACGGCCUAUCACAGAUGUCGUCAUGAAUUCCAGCUGAAGCCCAUGCUCUAUCUAAGCCUAACGAUGAGCCUGGCAGCUUAUCACACUUCUGACAGCCUAUCAUAGAUGUCGUCAUAAAUUCCAGUUGAAACCCAUUCUCUGUCUAAGGAUGAUGGCAACUUUGAUAGGUUAUCACAAGGCUGACGACUUAUCAGACAGGUCAUCAUCUAUACUUUCCUUUCUACUUGCUCAGAAAUUAAGUCUUUUACUUCCAUUAUUGUUGGUUCUCUUACAUCUUGACUUUUACUGCAAUAUCAAAUAGAAAACAAUUAAAAACGACAAAAUUUGCUUAAGCCUUUGCAAUUAUUCUUAGUUAAAAGCGUGAAAUGUGUUAGCAUCUGUUCACACAUAAUUUUCCUCUUGUUAUCAUUCUCCUCUUGUUACCUUUUAUUUUUUAUUUGAUCCUGGUGUAUUCUUGUUGUUUUUAUGCUAAAAGUGUCGUAACUCAUCACUCGGGGAUGAAUGAUCCUAAGGAGGGAGGGUAAUGUAAGACCCCUUAAAAUUUUGAUCAUUUUAUUCUUGAUCCUCCAGCAUGUGUGAUGUUGAUAUUUGACUUAAAUUAUAUUAAGAGAUAUUAAAAAGGUAUUUUGAGAAAGUUUUAUAAUUUUUGGAAGGGGUUUGGGGUCAUUUUGGGACCACGAGGAAGUGAGGGUCUGUGAUAUUAGUGUACCACAGAGGUUAGCCUCCACGGUAUUGGUGUGGCACCAAGGCUAUCCUCCAUGAUAACGUUGUGCCAUGUUGAUGGGUUAAUUUUAUUUAGUUUUGUUUUUUCACUUAUAGUGAGGUUUUGGUCUUUGUACCCCUUAAAUGACCUUUACAUAUAAAAUAAGACUCUUUUCAUGAGUUUUCAAAGAUGAAAAUCAUCCAUUCACUCAUAAAACUCAAAACCCAAGAACAUUCAAGGGUUCUAAAGUGCAUUCAUUAUCCAGGCUCCAAAACUACAAAUUAACUUCAAUUUCUGGUGUGUUUCUGGCAUGUUUCUCUUCCUUAAACUUGAAUUUUACAUUGUGGCAUUAAUUCAAUGGAUUACAUGCAAUUCAAAUUUUGGGUUUUGAAACUAGGUUAAUGGGUUUUGAUUAAUACUAAUUGAACUAUUUCUCCCACAUUUUGAAUUGGUUAUUCAUGCUUUAAAUUGAUUUUUUGGGAAUGAAUUGGUACAUUCUUUAAAUGGUUGGAAUGGAGAAGAAGGCUUUCCCCAAACUGGAUGAAUUUUGACUUGGAGUUGGUAUUAACCUCAACUCGCGUUAUAAUCUUGUUUUGAAAAAUUUCAUUGUUUAACUUGAUUUUUAACUUAACGCAUUGCAUUAAUGAAUAAAUGGGUAUACAAAUGGAUUUGGAUGGCCUUGGUGGCCAUGGUUUGGAUUUUAAAUAGAACUUGAGAGUUAAUAUGGUUAUGUGGAUUAGUUUGGCAUGUUUAAUUUAGCUUUCAAGGGUAUUGGUAUGACGAUACUAAGUGGUAUGAAUAAAUUAAUGAAUAAAUCUCAGGUUAAUGGUUGGAAUUAUAGGCAAAUUGAUUUUAAUUUGGGCUUAAAGGGGGGGUUGUGUAGCUCACUAAUGUUGGGUUAAUCUAUGAAUUCUAGUGUUACUUUUAUAGCCUAUUUAGCCUUGUUUUGAGGAUGAUUCAUGUUCCUAAUGUGUUUACAAUGUUUAAAGGUGUUUUCAAAUGAGUUUUGAUUCAAAUUGAUCAUUUAGAGUUCAACGGAAAAAAUUCGUGUUACUAGCUUGAGUUAGGUGUUUGUCUAGUCUAUCAUGUUGGGUCUAACGUGUUUAAUGAGUUACUAAGGUUUUGAUUAUGUAUUUAUAUGUGAAACAACUUGUUGGUAAUGUUCAAGGGUCAAUUGGCUCAAUACAAGAGUCGAAAUAAUGAGUUAAAGAUCAAAGUGAAAUUAGCCUGUGCUUAGCUCGUGUUUUUAUUCACCGCCUUAGAUAUUGUGUUAUGUUGAACUCUAAAUUGCUGUGUUUAAUGCUAUAGUGUGCUUGGUUAAUGGAUUAUGAUGAUAUAUUAAGGAUAUACAUGCUUCAAAUCAAGUGUAAAAAAACUCAAAAAGGCUUGGAAUGGAUCACGAAAGCACAAUAUGUAACUUGACGCAAAUUUGGACACCUGAAAUGUUUUACGCGAGUUAGGUAAUGUGGGAAGGACUAUUGGUGCGUCCUACACGCCAAAAGACUUAGAAGGCACCCAAAACAGUGUAACCUUGUGAUUAGGGCGCGUCAUGACCCCUACUCAAGUCAAAUGGCCCUCUUGAUGUAUUCUUUGUUCCAUCGACAAACAAAUUCGCCUCCUAUAAAUAGGGCACUUGUAAUUGAUGCUAAACAUCUUGGACUACUUUGAAACUUGGAGAGGGGCUGGAAAAACUUCAAUUAGGGUUUUUUAUUUAUUUACUUUAGCUUUUUAAUGGAUUUUAUAUUGUAUUUAAUUAUCUUGAUUACGGUUAUUUCUAUUUGCAGCUAAAUGCCCUUUUCGGGGUUAAGGCCAAGAAUAUGACUAGUUUCAUUUUGAAUUAAGUUUAUUAAGUUUAUUAUCAUUAUUGGUUGUUUUUUUGUUCUUAUUUUAAUUAUUUUAAGGAUUAGUUACCCUUAGAAUACAUCAAUUGUCAACCUUGUGAACUUGGGAGAGGGAAUAGGGCGAUAGAACAUGGGAAUAAACAAAGAAUGGUUUGUAUUAUUUUAUGAAAUAAGAAAUUCAAAUUAGUGUCUAGGAUAGGGAUGUACUUGGUUGCCUUAUUUGAUUCACACAUAGGAUGAUAUUUUAAAGAUUUUAAUUGAAUACUACUUCCCCGCUCAACGAUGUAGUUGUAAUGUUCAAAUUAGGUAAAUGGUUAGAGGUUGGGAGACCAUAAUCGCCUGAUCAAACCUAUGAAUCAACAACCAAGAUAAGUAAUUUAAUGUAUAAAGUUCAAUAAUGUAGUAUGAUUGUUCGUAAGCCUUAACCCUGUAUCUCUACCCAUUGAUUGUCCAGAGUCAUUACUUUUCCACUUUAGUUUAGUUUCUUUUUAGUUUUCAAUUCUAAAACUCUAUUGUUUACUUUUUCUCGAUUCUUAAACUAUAAUUGGGUAGUUGUCAACACAAGUCCCUGUGGGAUCGAUACUUGGUUCUUGAAGGCCACUUUACUACUUAGUAGACCACGUACACUUGCGUGUGCUCUUGGGCGCUGUCACUCACCAUGAAGGUGUAAGUCCUGGGGGGCCAAACACCGGAAACCACAUUUGAUGGCGUUGGGGUCUAUAUGACAGUAUACUUGACACAUACUUGCUAUACAUAUUUGGUACGGCUAUUUCCCACGGUGGCUUUAGUUUUACCUUUGUUUUUCCUUGCUCCGUGCGGCUAACAUACACUGAGGCCCUUUCAGCAGAGGGAGUUGAACCCAUAUAGCCUAUAAUUUCUAGUAUGCUGGAUUAAGUUACAUAGUCCAGGUUAAUGAUUAAAAGAUUUAAUGUUCAUGAUCCUUGCCCUUUCCAAAAUUCAUAUAUAUGUAUAUAAGAAUGUGUGCUUGUGGUUUUGACUGAUUUUUGAUAUGGCAUUAUUUGAUCACUUUCCUUGAGUUACAUGACAGUGCUUAUCCCACUAACCAUCCUAGGAUGCUACAUCAUUUCAUGAUAUAGGUCCAAACACAUUUUUGUUACUCCUAUGCAGUAUUAGGUUGUGCGGUGCAUUUGUUAAGUUGAUGUUAAGUGGUGAUUUUCUUCGUUUGCACACUAUCUAAAGACUACAUCAUUUCAUUAUUCUUUCUUUACUAACUAAAGUUCCUUUAUAUUCUUUUUGUUCAUAGUCCAGAGCAUGUCCCAACUUAGCUAUUAUUCUAGUUUUAAAGGCUUUUGUAGACAAUUUUAGGUUGGUUAUUGUUUUGACACUUAGUUUCAUUUGAGUUAUCUAUUCAUCUUCUUAUUACUGUUGAUUAGGUUCUGCUUAUUGUUAUUAUUAUACUCCUGAGGUUAGGAUAAGGGGGUGGUCUCCGAUCCAUAGUAGGCUUGAGAUGCCCGUCAUGACUAGGUCCUAGUUCUUAUUGUGACAAGAUUGGUAUAAGAGCCCAAUUUAGGGUUAUUGGGUGUCCACAAAGCCGUGUUUAAUAGAGUAUUAUUUAUAGGUGUGUAGCACGUCACACUUAUAAAGAGGAGGCUACAAGGUAUUUAGGAAUGUUUUUCUUUCUUGUGAUCCAUUUUGGGCUAUAGAGUCUAGUUUUAUGAAACUUCUUAAGCUCCUGGCUUCCUCACAAUUAAGAUCAUGCCUCCCAAAGAUCUAAUAUUUGUAGAAACUUUACUGGAAAAUCUAUCCUACCUGAGCAUAAUACGGAGGGGACUCACCCUAUGUAUAGAAUGUACACUUGGUCUAGGGUCCCUGCUCCUGAUUGUACUACCCCAUGUUGAAUUCCACCGAUCACUACUAGUCCUUCACGAGCUUUCUAGGAUGGUGAUACUUAUGAUCAGCCACCUCUGAGAUAUAUCUUUAAUACGGAUUUCCUUUAGUACAGGGGUUUAUUGAUGAGAUAGAAAAGAUCUUUACAGUGAUGCAUACUACUUAUGUGGAGGGUGUUGAGUUUGCUGCUUAUUAGUUGAAAGAUGUAGCUUAUUAGUUGUAUGAAAAAUGGGAAGGUAUGAGGGGUGAUGAUGUUGAGCAGGUAGUAUGGGAUGACUUUUCAAGGGCCUUUAUUGAUCACUUCUUUUAUCUGGAGUUAAGGGAAUCUAAGGCUGAGGAGUUUGUUAACCUGAAGUAAGGGAAGAUGACUGUGAAGGAGUAUGCUCUAAAGUUUCAAUGGUUGUCCCGUUAUGAUCCAAAGUUAGUGGCUAACAUGAGAUCCAAGUUGACAAAGUUUGGUUCUGGGUUAUCUCGUAACUUGGUAUUACAGUGUAAAGUUGUAAUGCUGAAUAAUGAUAUGGACAUCUCUAGACUUGUAGUUUAUAUGCAACAAGUUGAGAAUAUGAAAAAAAAAGCAAGCAGCGAUGGGAGAAAGUCAAAACAAGAAGUUUAGGUAGUUAGAGAAGGGUGGGGGUCAACAAAAUAGUAAAAGAGAUUGUGGAAAAUAGACUAAAAAUAAGAAUUAGUGAACUUCAUAUUUGACUCCUAGUUCUUCUUAUCCUAAGCCUUCGGGCGACUAUCAUUCUCAGGCUAGUAAUGGUCCUAAGCCACUAGUUCCCAGUCUCACGCUAGUGGCUCAGUAAGACCCACCUUAUCCUCCUUGUCAUUUUUAUGGGUAGCUUCCCCAUGGAUAUUAUGAGAAAGGGAGAAAUCGGUGUUAUAAUUAUGGUCAACUAGGUCACAUGCAGCGAGAUUUCCUUUUAGUCAGGGUUUUCACUAAAGGUAAUAAGGUUUUUUACCACUUAUUCAGCUCCUAUGCCAAAGGGUGCCACUUUUAGUUCCAGCACUCGCUUGAAUCAUCUCUAAGCAUAUACUACUACCUUGGAAUUUAAGGCAUCUCCAGAUAAUGUUACUAUUAUGUAAUAGCUCUUUUUCUGUGAUGUUUAUUGUUUGCUUGAUCUAGGUUCUACCCUAUCUUAUAUGACCCCUUAUGUGGUUGUGUAUUUUGCUUUUGGCCUUAAAAGUAUUUUUUACCCCUUUUCUGUGUCGACUCUAUUAGGUGAUUCUAUAGUUGCUAGAAAAAUCUAUAGAAGUUGUGUGGUGUCCAUCUUUCAUAGGGAGAUAUCAGUGGAUUUAAUAGAGUUAGAUAUAGUUGAUUUCAAUAUUAUCUUUGGGAUGAAUUGGCUUCAUUCAUACUAUGUUUCUCUAGAUUAUAAAAGUUGAAAGGUCAGUUCUCACUAUCCUAGGGAAUCGAUAUUAGAAUAGGGGGGUCCUUAGUACCUAAAGGGAGGUUUAUCUCUUAUCAUAGAGCUCAGAAAUUAAUUUUAAAAGGGUAUCUAUGUCAUCUAGUUCAAAUUAAGGAUUCGGUCUGUGAAAGUCCUCUUUGUAAUUUAUCCCUGUGGUAAAUAAAGAUCCUAAAGUGUUUCCCGAUAAUCUUCCUGGAAUUCCUCCUGAUAGGGAAAUAGACUUUAGGAUUGAUAUUUUAUCGGAUGCUCGACCUAUUUCUAUUCUUACUUAUAGGAUUGAUUCGACUGAAUUAAAGGAGCUAAAGGAGAAACUAAAGAAUCUUCUUAAUAAGGGUUUCAUUUAUCCUAAUGUUUCUUUGAGGGUGCUCCUCUACUUUUGUGUGAAACAAAAAUGGGUCUCUUCGAAUGUGUAUAGAUUAUCAUCAGUUGAAUAAGGUGACGGUGAAGAAUAAGUAGCCUCUUCCUAGGAUUGAUGACUUUUUUUCUCAUCUUCAGGGUGCUACGUGUUUCUCUAAAAUUAAUAUUCAUUCGAGUUAUCAUAAGUUAAAAAUUUGGGAUGUUGACAUUCCUAUGACUCUUUUUUGAACCCGGUAUGGUCAUGAUAAGUUUGUAGAUACGUCAUUUGGGUUGACUAAUGCUCUGGUUAUGUUCAUAGAUCUUAUAAAUUUGGUUUUCAAGUAGUUUCAGGAUUUGUUUUUUAUUGUUUUCAUUGAUGAGAUCUUGGUGUAUUCUAAAUAUUGGGAAGAUCAUGAAAUCACUUCCGAAUUGUAUUACUAACUCUUAAGGACUAGGAAUUGUAUGCAAAAUUUUCUAAGUGUGUGUUUUAGGUAAAUAUUGUGACCUUUCUUCAUCACAUUAUUUCUAGUGAGGGGAUCAAAGUGGAUCCACUAAAAGUUGAGGCAGUUAAGAAAUGGCCAAGACCCAUGAUUCCAACUGAUAUUAGGAGCUUCCUAGGCCUUGCUGGGUAUUAUUGGAGGUUUUUGGAAAAUCUCUCAUCUAUUGCUUCUCCGCUGACUAGUUUGACUGAAAAAAGGUUAAGUUCUUCUGGUCCAGUGCAUGUGAGGGUAGUUUUGAGAAGUCGAAGGAUAAGCUGACUUUUGAGCCAAUUUUAAUCCUGUCUGACGAUACUAAUGGUUUUGUUGUGUUUUUGUUGUGUUUUGUGAUGCAUCCCAUGUAGGAAUAGGUUGUGAUUUAAUUCAUCAUGGUAAGAUUAUGGUCGAUGCUUCUAGGCAGCAUAAGGUUCAUGAGAGGAACUAUCUAACUCAUGAUCUAAAGUUUCCAGAUGUGGUCUUUGCUUUCAAAAUUUGGCGCCAUUAUCUAUAUGGGGUCAUAUAGAUAUCUAUUUGGGUCAAAAGAGCUUAAAGUAUGUGUUUACUCAAAAGGAGUUGAAUCUCAGGUAGAGACGGUGGCUCGAAUUGAUUAAGGAUUAUGACAUGAGUCUUUACUACCAUCCAGGUAAAGUUAAUAUUGUUGUUGAUGCUGUUAGUAUGUUGACUAGUGGAGCUUAUCCCAAGUUGAUGAGGAUAAAAAAGGAUUGGUCAGGGAUAUUCACAGUCUAGAUAACUUGGGAGUCAGUCUUUUGGACUUUGGAGAUAACGGAGUAAUUGUCCAAGAAAUGGUGAAAUAUCUCUAAUAGCGGUGGUGAAGAAGAAGUAGGCUUUUAAUCAUAUACUUAUGCGAAUUAAGGAUGAGGUAGGUUAGCAAAAGUUUAUGGUUUUGAGAUUAGGGGAGAUAUCAGCUUGAGGUAUUAAGGUAGGUUGUCUAUUCUUGAUGAUUGAUGGGAUACGUAAAAGGAUUUUGACUGAGGCUCGUGAGUUUGCAUAUACAGUUUAUCCGGGUUUUACUAAGAUGUAUCACAACUUAAAGGAAAUCUAGUGGUGGAAUAAUAUGAAGAAGGACGUGGUAAAUUUUUUUGCUAAGUGUAUGAUUUAUUAGCAAGUUAAGGUAGAACAUUUUAGGCCUAGUGGCAUAUCUCAAGAGAUAAAGUUACCAAUGUGUAAGUGGGAGAAAAUAAAUAAGGAUUUUAUUACGGGUCUUCUAUGGUCUCGCAAUCAGUAUGAUUCAAUUUGGAUCAUUGUGGAUAGGAUGAAUAAGUCCGCACACUUUUUACUGGUGAGGACUAACUACUCAGGAGAGGAUUAUGCCAAGUUCUUCAUUUAAUAGAUUGGAGAGUUGCAUGGUGCGCCAGUGUCUAUUAUUUCAAAUUGAGGUACGCAGUUUUCUUCUCACAUCUGGUAUUUGUUUCUGAAAGGUUUGGGUACACUGGUGAAUCUUAGCACUGUUUUCCACCCUCAAACACAUAGGCAAGCGGAGCAUACUAUUCAAACUUUGGAGGAUAUUCUAAGGGGAUGUGUGAUUGAUUUUAAAGACAACUGGGUUGAUUAUUUGCCUCUUAUUGAGUUCGCGCACAACAAUAGUUAUCAUUCUAGCAUUCAGAUGGCUCUUUUUUAGGCUCUUUAUGGUAGGAGGUGUAGGUAUCCUAUUAGAUGGUUUGAGGUUGGUGAGACUAGGUUAUUUUGUGCUUAUUUGGCACAGCAAUCCAUGGAGAAGGUGAAGGUGAUUAAAGAAAGAAUUAAUACUACUCAAAGUCGCCAAAAGUUUUGUGCGGAUAUGAGGCAAAGAGAAUUAGAGUUUGAAGUAAGUGACUGGGUGUUCUUGAAGGUGUCUCCUAUAAAAGGAUUCAUGAGGUUUGGGAAGAAGAGGAAGAUCAAUCCUUGUUACGUUGUUCCAUAUCAGAUUUUAAGAAGAAAUGGGAAUGCGGAUUAUGAGUUGGAUUUGCCUGUGAGUUUGGGUUCCAUUCAUCCUAUUUUCCUAUGUCCAUUUUGAAAAAGUGUGUGGGUGAUUUGUCCUUAAUAUUGUAUAUUGAGGAUGUUGGUAUUAUGGAUUCCUUUUCUUAUGAGGAAGUCUUAGAUGAAAUAUUGGAUAGACAAGUUCAUAGAUUAAGUACCAAGGAUGUAGCUUCGGUGAAGGUUUUUUGGAGAAAUCAAAAGGUGGAAGAAGCUACAUGGGAAGCUGAGGAAGAUUUAAAGUCCAAAUACCCAUUAUUGUUCAUCGGGUGGGAUGAAAGCGCUUAAGGUAUGAGCUUUAUUUCCCUUUUUUUCCUUCCGAGUUUGCCAUUUGGUUCUUGUGUAUUCAUGUUAUUCUCAUGCUAAAAGUGUCCUAACUAAUCAUUCGAGGACGAAUGAUCCUAAGGAGGGUGUAAUGUGAGACACCUUAAAAUUUUGAUCAUUUUAUUUUUGACCCUCCUAUGUGUGUGAUGUCUAUUUAUGACUUGAAUUAUGUUUAGGGAUGUUAACAGGGUUUUUGGGGAAAGUUUUGGAAUUUUUGGAAAGGGUAAGGGGUUAUUUUGGGACCUUGACGCAGUGAGGGUCCGCAACCAUAUUUGCGUUGCCCAAAUGGUAGAGAAUAGAGAUAUCAUACUCCUUUAGUAACUUAAUCCAUCUUUAUUUCCUUGAAUUAAGCAAAUAAAGAUCUCAAGUGAACCCCAUACAAAUACUACAACCAAAUCCUACGUGCAAACACUACCGCUUCCAAAUCUAAGUCAUGAAUGGGGUAGUUGCACUCAUACACCUUUAGUUGCCUCAACACAUAUGCAAUAACACGGCCCCAUUGCAUUAGAACACACCCCAGUCCAACACUAGAUGCAUCACAAUAGACAAUAAAACCCUUACCCUUAACUAGAAGAGUCAGAACAGGAGCUGAAUUAAGCAACCCCUUAAGCUUUCAAAAUCUCAUCUCAGAACUCGCAAACAACUGAAAUAGAACCUCCUUCCUGGUCAAUAUAGUCAUAGGGGCUACAAUAGAACAGAAACCCUAUGAACCACAUUUAGUAACUUGUCAACCCAACAAAACUACGAACCUUAGUAGGUGACGUAGGACUAGCCCAACUAUGAAUAGACUCAAUCGUUGUUGACUUCACUAUAAUACCAUCUUUGGACUCUAAGUUCGCCAAGAAAUCUGCAGAUGCAAGCUAGAACACGAACUUAGGGAACUUGUUAUAAAAUCGAUGAUCUCUCAAAGUGUGGAACACAGUCCUUAAAUAUUUCUCCUUUUCCUUCUAAUUAAUAUACCAGAAUAUCAUCAAUAAAUACUACCAUAAAGGAGUCCAACUAUGGCCUAAACACACGGUUCAUCACAUUCAUAAAAGUUUUUAUGGCAUUGGUCAGGCCAAAAGACAUCACUAGGAACUCAUAAUGAUCAUAAUGUGUCCUGAAGGUUACCAUAUGGAUGUCUACAGCCCUAACUCUUAACUGAUGGUAACAUGACCUCAAAUAAAUCUUGAAAAGCAUUGUUGUACCCUGAAGCUAGUCAAAUAAUCAUCAAUACAAGGAAUAUGAUACUUAUUCUUCAUAGUCACCUUAUUCAACUUCUUGUAGUCAAUAUAUAUAUAUAUGAAUAGAGCCAUCUAUCUUCUUCACAAAUAGAAAGAGAUAAAACCCCACACAUUCGAUCUAAUAAAACCCUUACCUAGAAGAUCUUGAAGCUAACUAUUCAGCUCUUUUAUCUCAGUAGGAUCCAUAUAAUAUAGAUCCAUAAAAAUAGAUUGGGUGCUUGGCUCAAGGUAAAUAACAAACUCUAUAUCACUCUCAAAAGAAAGGACAACUAGGUCAGUCAAAAACGUAUCAGGAAACUUGCGAACAACAAAGAUGGAUUCAAGUAAUGCACUCCCAACACUAACAUCCCAAACAUAUGCAAUAACUGACUCACAACCCCUUAAUAUUAGUCUUCUAGAUCAAAUGUAAGAAAUAAUCCUCGUCGGUGCAUGAUUAAUAAAACCCUGCCAUACAUUUGGGGAUAUACAAGUCAAAGCUAAGGUAAAGAUCGUAGUAUGACCAUAUGGUAAGGUGAUAACCAAUCCAUGCCUAGAACCACAUGAAAAUCUACCAUAUCUAGGAUAAUCAGAUCAAUUUGAGUAUCAAGCUGCCGAACAGUUACCAAACAAGAUCUAUAUACCAGAUCCACUACUAAAGAAUCACCUACCGAGGUAACUACACACAAUGACACAGAUAAAGAUGCUAACAUAAACCCAACCAUGAUGCAAAAUAGGCAAAAACAUGUAAAAUACGGAAUUGAUAUCAAACAAAGAAAAAGUUUCCUGAUGGUAUAUGAAAAUCGUACCUAUGAUCAUAGCAUCUGAAGCCUCAGCCUCUAGUCUACCUGGUAUAGUAUACAAAUGGACAGAGUUUCUAUCCGGCCACCUAUCCUAACUCUAUGUGAACCACCUUUAAAACCUUAAGGACCACACCUAUGACCUAUACACAACCCCUGGCUGGCGACAGUACUGAUCUAAGCAACUGUACAGUCUGAACUAAAGUCUCAAUCAACCAAUGCUGGGGACACUCACGGGCAAAGUGAUCAACAACCCUAUAAUUAUAACAUAUCUCAGGCAUCCUGUUCUAUCUAAAACUACUAGCUAGACCACUAGAACUACUAUAACCGAGCUAACCCCUGUCUGAUAUCUGAAAUGAUGCCUAAACUAGCUGACUAGGCUGACCAUGAUACUAAUAAGGCUACUGUUGGGGGUACCUACUAUGAAACCCUCAACCUCUGAAUUAUGAAUUGUUAUGGAUCCCACUAUAACUGCCCUUGUAACGAGGUUUCUUAUCGCAGCCCCCAUUGUAUUCAUGACCCAUAUCUUCUAUAUAAUAAACAUGCUUAAAAAUAUCAAAAGAAGACUUUUCAAGGUUUUCUUGAUUUUUCUAAAUUAAUUACGUGGUGACUCUAUUUUCAAAUAUCGACUUUGAAAACUUUUUCCAAAGUAUUUUAAUUCAUAAAAAUUGCACUAGUCAUCUUUUCUCCACAAAAUAGAAAUGGCAACUCUAAUGGGGAAUUUAACUUAGUUCUAACCAAAUAUUUGAAUUAACAUCUUUGACUAACUAUUCGGGUUUGAAAUAUUUAAACUGUUUGCAUGCUUAUGUCUUUAAAUUUUUGUGAUGCUAAAAAUUGUCCCACUUCAAGUCAUACUUCAACAUUUGUAAUAUAUAAAUUAUUUGAGGGUUUUCGAUUGUCGCAGCCCCUAUUGUUCAAUUUCAAAUAAAGUGUUGGGGAUACAAUGAUUUAUUGGCGCGUUAGGCGUCCGAUGGCUGUUUCUAUUUUUAAACCCUAGUUUUCUACUUGAGAACCUGAUUCAAGCCCACUCUAUACACCUAGGAUAAAGCAAAACAAAAACCCUCUUUUUAGGUAUUAGCCUAGGAUGACCCAAUACCUGAGGGGGUAUUGAGCCCAUUAGAAAACCUACCCUACGUAUAUUAACCAAAAGUCAAUUACAAAAAAAUAAUGCUUAUAUUUUGAUGAAAUAUAUGUUAUUUAAUCCAAUCCAUUGUCCUUUUGAGGUAGGGAGAACUCUUACUUUGUUUGCUUUCAUAUAGGAAUUGUUCAAUCGUAUCCUUGCAGAAAAUUCAAAAUGGUUACCAAACCCAAUAACUUUCUUAAAGCGUGGUGGUUCUAUAUGAGUACAAAAUAUAAAGAGACUAUUAGGACACAUAUCGGGCACCUACCUUCACUUAUGGAAAUAGACACUUGGUCUGAAAUGAUCCACGUGCUAAUGAAAUAUUGGGAUGAUGACAACAUGAUGUUCCGCUUUACGAAAUUUGAAUUGAUCUACACUAUCAAAGAAGUGGUAACUUGUUUUGAGAUCAUCUUUAUGUUCUUUAAAAGGAGGAGAAUACACCCGAUAAAAAUAUUCUAGUCUCUAUCUUAUGGAUCCAUUAAAACAUCCAGGAUGUCUUUUCGAUUAAAGGUGAUACUUGGUUGGGGGAACAUGAAAGGGAAAACAUACCUUUUCACGAGUUGUACCUCCAGUUUGGAAGGUAUAAUGCUUUUGAAAAAUUCAGGCAAAAACUUGAAUUGGAGUCAAAAUAGAAGGAGAAAAGAUUAUUUGCCUUCACAGUGGGCUUACUUAGAACUAUGGCGCUCCCACAAGGAGUGAAUGGCACCACUCAUACAAGUGUCGUCAUGGUGACAUAUGCCCUAUUUUACAUAGUGAAUUAUGGUUCCACUAAGUUAUGCCAUACCUUAUCCCCUAUGAUCGUCACUGAAAUAUAUCAAGCUUCAGGAAAUUGUUAGAAGGAACGACGUUUCUUUCAAAGAUGUAUUACAAUGGUGGAUGAUGAAGCAUUUUUAACAAAAACCUAGAAUGUAACAACAAGACCCUCGAACAAGCAUAUAUCUUUUACUAUCGCAUAGCAUUUGGUUGUCUCUACAAACUUUUAAGAGGGAAAAGACUUUAGGAUUUUCGUUCAAGAUUUUAAGGUAAUUAGGAGAUGACGAUGUCCAAUGGUUGAUCAGAUAUCUUUAUUCAGGAAAUUAAAUUAUUUGAGGAAAUGAAUAGCAAUUUUAGUACUUCUAGGACUCAGGGGCACUCGUCUAUAUAAUCCUGACUCCUUAGACAAUUUAAAGUUAAGCAGGAAAUAUCAUAAACUACAUCUAUAGGAUUCAUCACCAAUUAUAAAGAAGGAGAGACCCAACUCAAGAAAUUCAUGUUGUAGGAGUGGCAGAGAAGAAAUCCUAGAGAAACCUCUUUUUUCAUUGGGUAUGAACCCAAGGUUAGUGACACUUACAAAGAAUGGUUAAAGAAGAAUCUUUCCGAAGCAUUGGGGCCAGGCCCUAAUGUGCCCAUAUAAAUCAUUGAUGUUGAAUUGAAACAUCAAAUUUGGCUCCAAAGGCUCAAGGAUGAAUUCCUAAAAAGUGAUAUUUCAUACCAAUAAAGGAAUAUGUAGCAUGUCUCAACCAUACACCAAUUAAGAGAAGAAUUAAAGGGAGCAGGCAAGAGGUGGAUGAUGCUAGGCGGUGUUUUAUUGAUGUUUGCAUGGUUUCCUAGGUUGAUAGCACAGUGAAAAUGACUUAUGAUAAUAGAGCACAAUUAUGAAAGAGUUAUUUUAUCACCAACAGAUAUCGCAUAUGGCAAGAGGUAGACAAAGCUAAGAGGGCGAAGGUCAAUAAUGGAUCAUCUGGAUGUUAGUUUUUUCUAUUUUUAUCCUCUAUGUGAGAACUUAUUCUUUUUCUCGUGUUUAUUUUCCUUUUUCUACAGAUUGUGUCCCUUUUGUGCAACUUCAUACGCAUUUAUGCCCUUUUACAUAUAUAUGGAUAUUUUGGGGGGAUAAUGAAUUGGUGUUAAAAGGCACAUAUUCCUUCAAACUUGUUGGACCAAACCUUGGCUUAAAAGGGUUACCCAAUUAGGAUAUGCAUUUAUUAUAAUGUUGUUGUAUGAUAUAACUGGCUUACUCUAAAUUUCUCCCUUCAAUUCCCCUAUUCAAGGGAGUCAUCCAAGUAACAUAUCAUUCACCCUCGCUUUCUAGUUACCCACAGAUCCUAUCAUCAAUAAUCCACUAAUUCACACUCUACCUGUCCAAAAUACUAAUCGAGAUAACAACCCAGAUGCUUUCCAUCCCUAACUCCACAAAAUCCAUCCCCAACUCUACAAAAUUCAUCCCUGAUUCCAUAAAGUCACUCUCAAAUUCUACCAAACCACUAUUAAGUUCCACAAAAUAUUCCUAAUUCUCAAAAUGCCCCUACCUACCACCCAACUUUUUCUCAUCCUCAAAAUUAAGCUAUCAUCCCAAAUUUCUCUCAUAUUCGACCUAGGCCUCCAACCCAUUUCUAUCUCAUUAUAUCCCGUAAUAUCUAUAACCCCUUUCCUAAUCUCGAGAUAUGCCAUCAUGAGGAGAAGGAAAAGAAAUAGAGGACCGAGCAAGAAAAAAUUACUGGCCACGAAUUAAGAGAUUAUGAGAAAUAAGGAAUCUCAUAGGGUAGGGGAUAAUGAUAGUCUUGGUUAUGAUAAUUUAUGUGUUCAACCUAGGGUGGGUAUACUAAAAUGGUAUAAAAUCCCUAAGUUUGAGAUGUUCAACGACACCAGAAACCCCAUGGAUCAUUUAAGAAGAUACUAUGAUCAAAUGGUCGAAGUAAGAAUGAAUGAGGCAUUGCUAAUGUGCCUAUUCAGUCAAAGUAUAAGCAGCGAAGAUUUAGAUUGGUUUAUAUCUCUAGAACUAAAAAUCGUCUGAUUGGGGGAAUUAGAUAAAAGCAUUGUCAAUAAGUUUGCAUACAAUAUUGAAAUAGUCCUUGAUCGACACUCACUAUACCAGAUUAAGCAGAAGAAUGAUGAGUGUGUUCGAGACUAUGGAUACCGCUGGUGAAAAGAAGAUACUAUAGUACAACCUCCCAUGAUUGAAGAGAAAAUAGUGUUUAUGUUCUCUUAUGAUCAAGAGGGAAAAUUUUAUACCAGGAUGGUAUCAGUGAUCCGAAAAACAUUCAUAAAUUUAGAAAGAAUUGAGGAGUCGCUAGAAGAAGGUACUCGAUGGUUAAGAUUAUCAAAACCCCAACAUCAUUUGGGACUUUUGGGUUCUCAAAGAAGAAAAGAUAAGAUGUGAGUGCAGUCUCCACUAAUGUUGCCAAAUUGAAGAAGAAAUUCAAGCCUAAGAACACUUUUUUUCUCCACCACCCCCAAGUCUUCAAUUCGUCUUCUAUGCCCAACCUCAAUACCAAGCUCCACAUCCAAAUAUCCAACCCCAGUACCAUGUUCCACAACCAAAUAUCCUAACCCAAUAUUAAUCUUCAUAGCCAAAUAUUUUACCCUAAUAUCAAGUUCUACAACUAGAUUGUCAUACUAAUGUUCGAACCACCCAUCCAAAUAACCAAACAAAUAUCCCAGCACCUCCAAAUUAUCAUCAAGUACCACCUCCCAGUAGAAAAAACAAUUACAACCUUCCUCGUCUAAACCUUAAGAAGAAACCUUCUCAAAACUUCACUUCAUUAGCUGAAACUUGAACCCAACUCUUUUAAAUAUUAAGAGCAAUUAGCUAUCUACAGUCCAACCAAAACCUACCAAUCCCAAUUCUCAAUUUUUUUCAUGUCGAUCAAAAUUGUACCUAUCAUUUAGGAGUGGUCGGGCACAAUAUUAAAGAUUAUAUUAAAUUGAAACAUAAGAUCCAAGAUUUAAUUGACCAAAAGGUUAUUACUCUUCAAUCACCAAUAUCAAAUGUCAAUAGUAAUCCAUUACCUAAUCAUGGGGGAGCUAUGGUCGACAAGAUCAAAAUAAAGGAUGUAUAGGUAGUUGGCAAGAGUAUACUUGAGGUUGAAUUGGAAAAGUCCAAAAAAAUAGAGGGAGUGGAAAAGAUAAAGAGAGUCAUGGCCUCUUUAAGUGUCAAUGAAAGGCCCUUAUUUUAGUGAUCACAUCUCGACUUAGGCAUAUUCUCCACCACCACCUAGGAAAAAAUUCAUUAUAUAGACUACCACCACCCAUGGGAUGUCACGGUCUAGACGAUGCUAUAUUCCCAAAGAUUUGAAUAAUAGAAAGGAUUCACAGAAAAGACCAAUCACUGAAGGGGAGGACAAAUAAUUUUAUAGGCAUAUACAGACAACAGAAUAUUUAAUUAUCAAGUAUUUGGAAAAAAAAUCCAUCUCAGAUUUAUAUUUAGCCGUAUUUAAUUUGGUUGUAAUGAUAGGGAAUAUGUUCUAGAUGAAGCAUAUGUUUUUGCAGGCAUGAACAUUGAAAAUUUGUCCGCAAUGAUAGGGAAUGUUGUAUCCUAUCAUUUAGUGAUGAAGAGUUGCCUUUUGAAGGCAUAAUGUACAACAAGACCUUAAAUAUUACUGCUAAUUGUCAUGACUAUGUGAUUAAUCAUGUAUUGAUAAAUGAUGGAUCUACUCUGAAAAUUUGUCCUCUUUUCAUAUUGACUAAACUAGGCUAUAACUUGGAAAAGUUUCACCAAAGCCAUGUUAAUGUGCGAGCUUUUGAAGAAGGGCAAAGAGAUAUUAUAAGUGAAUCUGACCUAUACAUCCAAAUCAAACCUGCUGAAUUCAAGAGGAGAUUUUAUGUUAUGGAUAUCAAUCCUAAUUACAACCUACUUCUCAAAAGUCGUGCAUUCACGGUGCAAAAGUAGUUUUGUCACCUCUUCAUCAAUUGUUAAAGAUAAUUUGGAAAUACUACGAGGUGGUCAUACAAAGAGAAAAAAGCCAUUUGAGUCACCCUAAUGGUUUUGUACUUGUCAUUGAAGAUAUUCCAAGUGGUAGAAAUUUUUAUACGGUAAAACUUAUGAAUUCCACAGAGAAGGAUCCAACUCCCUAAAUUCUAAUGCCCUCUAUCUAUACAAUAUUACAACUAUGAUGUUAAGAAGUGGGUUCGAGCCUAGACAAGGCUUGGUAAAGAAUUUGGAAGGAAUUGUUGAGUCAAUUAUGGUCCUAGAAAAAACAUUUAUGUAUGGGUUAGGGUACAACCCAAUAACGGAAGAUGAAAAUGUAGAAACAACAAAAAAGGGGUCUACCCAAACCAUUGCCACUCCUGUACCAGUCGUUUCCUAUGUAUCGGUGCCAAUAGAUGAUGGUUUGGGGGAUGGGAUAGGAAAUAUAUUCCAAGGAUACAAUGAAAUACUAGAAUAUUACCCAAAAGUUGGUUGGGUCGCACCCAGAGAGACUUUGCGAAAUUGGACCUCCACUUCCAUCAUGACUCGUCGACCACUAUGGUAGAUGAAAGGGAAAUUACUAGUAGUUUUAAAAAUUGAUAAUGAUCCAAAGGAGGCCCCGUGAUCCACCCUUUUAUGUCUCAAAUUUCCUUUUUGCAUUUUACUAUUUUUAAAAAGGCAUGGGCCCAUAAUUGUACAAGUCAUGAGCCAUAGUUAGAAAAUAUUUCUCAAAUUGCAAUAAAAGGCCUCUCUUUAUCUAGGAAGUCAUUUUGAAGUAUGAUUAUACUUAUUUUACUACUUUGAGUUAUCUUUUUAUUAUCUAACUUGGUUUUUUUGUCUAUUUCAGUAAUAAUAAUUUAAAAUCUGUCAAUGUCAUAUCAAGAGUUAAUGAACCAGGCGAGGUGAAUAAUGAUGAAUGAGAAGACUAUGAUGAUGUGCAGUUAACAGAGUAUAUGGAAGAAUUUGAAAAUUAAGAGAAACCCAACCUGGAGAAAACUGAAGUAGUAAACCAAAAAGAUCAUGAUGAAGUCAAAUAGACUAGAGUUAGUGUUCACUUGACAGAGGCAAAGAAAAGAGAACACAUCCACUUGAUAUGGGAAUACAUCAUUAAUUUGCUUGGUAAUACGAUGAUAUACCUGGGUUAAACACUAACAUUGUAUAACAUUAGUUACCAAUCAAUCCCAAAUUUGAUCCAGUAAAACAAAAAAAUGCAUAAAUUCAAGCAAGACUUAAGUUUGAAGAUCAAGGAAGAGGUAACAAGGAAAAUUCAAUCUAGAGUUGUGGAGGUCAAAAAAUACCCAACAUGGCUAUCCAUUAUUGUUUUGGUACAAAAAAUAAAUGCAAGAUCAGAAUAUGUGUCGACUACAGAUAUUUGAAUAGAGCUAGUCCUAAGGAUAAUUUCUCGCUACCCAACAUCCACAUCCUCAUUGAUAACUAUAUGAAUAAUGAAAUGCAUCUUUCGUGGAUUAUUUUAUCGGGUAUCAUCAGAUAUUAAUAGAUAAGGAAGAUGCAGAAAAGGUGACUUUAAUUACACCUUGGGGUUUUUAUCAUUAUAGGGUAAUGUCGUUUGGCUACAAGAGUGUUGGUGCAACAUACAUGAAGGAUAUGACAAUAGUUUUUCAUGAUAUGAUUCAUUAAAAAAUUGGGUUCUGCGUGGAUGGCGCAAUCAUCAAAUGUCUCAAGAGUUCAGAUCAUUUGACAUACCUAAAAAAGUUCUUCAACUAACUGAGAAAGUAUAACUUGAAGUUAAACCUUGCUAAGUAUACUUUGGGUAUGCCAACCGAAAAAUUACUAGGCUUCAUAGUCAGUAGAAAGGGCAUCGAGCUCAAACCAUCUAAGAUCAAUACAAUUCAGGAUAUACCACUACCAAGGACUAAGAAAUAAGUUAUGAGUUUCUUGGGUAGUUUGAAUUACAUUAGUAGGUUUAUUGCCCAAUCGACAGUCAUAUGCGAGCCAAUUCUCAAGAUGUUGAAGAAAGAUGUAUUGAGUGAGUGGACAAAAGAAUAUCAGAAGGCUUUUGAUAGAAUCAAGAUUAUUUAUUUGCCCCGCCAGUUCUGGUUCCACCAAAGGAAGGAAGUCCAUUGUUGCUUUACCUAUAUAUCUAUGAAAAUGCUUUUGAAUGUAUCCUUGGGCGAGACCGAUAAGAAAGAUAAAUCAAUCUACUACUUAACUAAAUAGUUCACACCAUACGAGGCUAGCUACACUCUUGUAGAAAGGACGUGUUGUAUUUUGACCUAGGUCACACAAAAGUUGAGGGAUUAUCUAUCCUCAUAUAUAGCAUAUAUUAUUUCCAGAAUUGAUCCCUUGAAUUAUAUAUUUUAGAAAGCCAUGCCCAUGGGAAAGUUAGCCAAAUGGCAAAUGUUACUGAGUGUGUUCGACAUUAUGUAUAUGACUCAAAAAGCAAUCAAGAUUUAAGCUUUAGCAGAUCAAUUAGUAGAGAAUUCGGUUGAUAAUAAAUAUGAACCACUUCAAUAUUACUUCUCGGAUAAAGAGGUUUUAUUUAUAUGAGAAGACAUUACAAGAACAUACCCUGGAUGGAGAAUGUUUUUUGAUGGAGUGGUAAACUUCAAGGGCUCUGGAAUUGGAGUAUUUUUGGUGUCAGAAAUAGGCCAACAUUAUCCAAAAAAAUUGCUAAAUUAUGCUCCCCAUGCACCAAUAACAUGGCUCAAUAUAACGCUUGCAUCCUAGGCCUCAAGUUAGCACUCAACAUGGAUGUUCAAUAAUUGCUAGUCAUUGGAGACUCAAAUUUACUAAUUCACCAAGUAUGGGGAGAAUGGGAAGCUAACAACUCCAAGAUUACCCCUUAUGUAGCACUGGUACAGGAUUUGUGUGGAAGAUUCAAGGAAGUUGACUUCAGACAUAUACAAAGGGUAAAAAAUAAGUUUGCAAAUUCUUUGGCUACUAUAUCCUCCAUAAUUCAACACCUAGAUCAGAGUUACUUCGAUCCUUUAGUAAUAAGAUUGAAAGAACAACUCGCACAUUGUGCUCAUGUCAAAGAGGAAGCUGAUGGAAAGCCAUGGUACUUGAUAUUAAAAGGUAUUUAAAAUCUGGAACAUAUCCUGAGGAGGCCAACAAAAAAUAAAAAAACAAAAUUUGGUGUUUGGCAAGGAAUUAUUUUCCAAGCAGGGAAAUUCUUGUAAGGAGGAUCCCAGACUUUGGAUUUCUAAGAUGUGUCGAUACUGCAGAAUCUAUAAAAUUAAUAGAAGAAGUACAUGCUAGAGCAUGCGGGCCCCAUAUAAAUGGAUUUUCACUUUCUAAAAAAACUCUGAGAACUAGUUACUUUUGGAUGACUAUGGAAAAUUAUUGUAGCAAAUAUGUGCAGAAGUGUUCAAAGUGCCAGAUACAUAGAGAUUUGCUUUGGAUACCCCCACAUGAGCUUUAUGCAAUGAGUUCACCUUAGCCUUUCGUAGCUAGGGUAUGGACGUUAUCGGACAAAUAGAUCCACCAGCAUUAAAUGGACAUAGAUAUAUUUUGGUUGUUAUUUACUACUUUACCAAAUGGGUAGAAGCUGCAUCAUAUAGAGUCGUGAAUAAGAAGGUAGUUGCAGAUUUUGUCAAGAACAACCUGAUUUACUAAUUUAGAGUGCCAGAAUCAAUCAUUACUGAUAAUGAAGCUAACUUAAACAAUCACUUGAUGAAUGAGAUUUGUGAAUCGCUUAAUAUUGUUUAUCACAAUUCAACCUCAUAUUGCCCACAAAUGAAUGGAAUGUGGAAGCAGCUAAUAAAAACAUCAAGAAUAUUUUGAGAAAAAUAUUUGAUAAUGAUAGGUCAUGGCAUAAGAUGCUGCCAUAUACUCUGCUAUGGUAUGCAUAAUAGUUUGAACCUCAACUGGACCACUCCUUAUCUAAUGGUUUACGAAAAUGAAGUUGUGAUACCUGUCAAGGUUGAAAUACCUUCCAUAAGGAUUAUUCAAGAAUCCAAAUUAAGCAAUGAAGAAUGGGUUCGUGCUCACUAUGAACAACUCAUGUUGAUUGAUGAAAAGAGAAUGGUUGUCGUGUGUCAUGGACAAUUAUACCAACACAGAAUUAUCCAUGCCUUCAACAAGAAAAUAAGAGUUCAAACAUUUAAAUAUGGGCAAUUGGUUCUCAAACACAUAUUCCCUCACCAAGAAAAGUACAAAGGCAAGUUCACUCCAAAUUGGCAAGGGUCAUAUAUAGUUCGAAAAGUACUAACCGGAGAAGCUCGAUCCUAUAUGAGAUGGAUGGUCAAGAGUGGAUCAAACAAAUCAAUUCUGAUGUGAUAAAGAGAUACUAUGUUUGAAGGAUGUUUUUUAUUUUUUUGUUUACCUUAUUUGUUUUUAAUCGCACAUUCACGAAGGUAUACUUUUAUGAUUUGGAGUCUCCUAGAAUUUACCCUUUUUCUUUUAUGGACGAACUACAUUUGACCUGAAUUUCCAAGAAAGGGACAAGUAGGUGGCAUAUGUCGACUUUGGUCAAUCCCUUUGGAGAAUUUACCCUUCCCUUUUAUGUAUGAAUUACAUGAUGACCUAAAUUCUCAAGAAUGAGAUACAUAGGAAGCCUAUGCCAUCUUCGAUCAACCCAUCAGAUUUUUCUAUAUAUCCCUAGUGUAAUCCUAAACUAUAUUUGACCUAAUUCUUGCUACAAUAGGAUACGUAGGUGACCCAAUAGCUCGAUCAUAUUACCCUAGAAAAUGGAAACUGGGGCUAAAUUUUUGAAAAGGGACCUCAAAAAUUCAAAAGAAGAAAAUCAUCAUCCAGCAAAAAGAAUGAAGAUCAGAAAAUCAUCAUCCAGCAAAAAGAAUGAAGAUCAGCAAAGAUUUUAGAUCCUAUCAAGACAAGAUAAUCUCAAAUAGUAGUAAACUAGGUCUAACAUUUUGAGGGAAUCCAAAAAGUUUCCCUAAUAUGCUAGAAUAUAUUUUUCCCCAGCACCAAGAGGUCGAAGCCUAAUUUCAAAAAUCACCAAUUAUGAUAGGGUCUAGAUAGACUAAAUCGCCAGCUAUGAUGGAAUUUUUGGUAGAACUCCCCAGCAACGACAAUGAGUUUUUAGAUAUCAUUCAUUGAAUGUCAGACACAGACGAGCCUCAAGAGGAAGACAUUCAUUGAGUUAGUACAUGUCAUGACUGGCAGAUAUUUUCUAAAAGCUUUUACAUAAGUUUUUGAAACUAAUUUUUCAAAAUUAAGACUAUUUUUUGAAAAUCGAUACACAGCAUUUUCUACUUAAAUAGUUUUGCCUAAACAUCUAACGAAAUGGGGGAGUCAGAGAGGAAGUCCAAACAUGAUGAAGCACCCGAAAGAUGCAAAAGAGCAAACAAAGAUCGAAGGAGGUCAACACAGAGUAGUGUCACUCAAAACUAAUAAUUUUUCUGUGGAUGUAGGGAUCUAUGCCAAAAAUGAGGACCUUCUUAAAAAUAAAUCCCAAGCGAAUUGGGAACUACACCAAAGCAUAUAAUGCUUAAGAACGGUAUUUUGAGUAUCCCAAAUGUGGGUUCAAUACCCACUUAUCAAGGACCUUUUGAAUUGUCUAUCUUAUUUCAUGAGACCAUGGAUGACAAACAAAGGCAUCUAAUCCUCUUUAUGAAUAUUUUAUUUAAAACUUUUCUAAAAAAAUAGUCGCUAGAAAAAGUGACGCUGUGUCUACUAAAUAUUUACCUUAAGCGCAAGUGCGUUUAAAGGAAUCGGCCCUAUAAGGACACAAUCAAAGGAUCUCUUAAUAGAAGGAAAAGCCUAAAAGUCAUCCUCAAAUUUUCUAUGAGGCAAAGGAAACAGUAUUUAAGUGAUGCCUAUAAAGGGUUUUACCCAUUUAUUUUCAUCUGGUAGAUCUACAAUUUAAAUAUUUCUUUUAAAAGAGAAGAUGAAUAGCAUACUAAGUUAUUUAUAUUAUGACAUCCAGUAUUUGUCACUUAAACUUUCAUAUAGCUUGAUUGUGGACACCAGUGAGAGCGACAUUAUGUAUACUAACUAUCUACCUUAAGUACAGGUACAUGUAGUAAGUAAUAACACAACUAACAAACUUAGGUGAAGCUCCUCUUCAAAAAAUUUAGAAGGCCAUUUCAUAUUAUUUCAUUAUCGAGAAGGCUAUUUUAUUCCAUUGUUGAAAGAUCCAUUCUAUUUUAUUCCAUUGUCAAGAGGACCAUUUCAUUGUCGAGGGAGAUAUUUCAGUUUAUUUAUUGUCGAGAAGGCAAUUUUACUUCAUUUCCAAGAGGUCCAUCAUGCCAUUCAGAUAAGUCUCCUUAAUUGCUCGUCAUGCAAGACGAUAAGGUCUGUCCUUGGAAGAUGUUUUGGAGAACCAAUGUCCAUUGACCAUGCGAAGAUAGCAUCAUCUAGGUUCGAGGAUAUCUCAAAAUUUUAUAUCUGUUAACCACGCCAAAGGCGAUGUAGCCCUGCAUCGAGGAUAUUUUAGCAUUUUAUGGCUUAGCAUGCAUCAACAUAUCAAGUUAAAAAGGCACAUGAUCCAGAGAGGCAUCUUUAAGUCGCUAUUUGAAAGCAGAUGACAUACAAUAUUCCUAAAAAUUUUCUAUCCGAGGGCCAUUUAUAAGUCACAUUGUUUGAGAUAUGAUAGUGUGCGAGAUUAUCUAUGAUUUAAUAGUUCAUAGGCCAUUCGUAAGUUGCAACAACAUCCUAAUCGAAUAGUGUGCAAGGUUAUCCAAAAAUCGAUAAUUCGGAGGUUAUCCAUAAGUCACAAAUAAAUCCUUAUAGGAUAAUAUGCGAGAUUACCAAAUUGAUAUGUCUAAGGGUUCUCUAUAAGACGUGUCAUAUCCAAGAUAAAUUAUGCUCAGGAUUACUCAAAAACUAGAAAUUUGAGAGAUAUCUAUAAGUCAUACUGUAUCCAAGGUCAGAUGAUGUGUAGGAAUACCUAAGAGCUAGCGAUUUGAGGGAUAUUUGUAAGUCAUCUCUUUUCUAAGGUAGGAUAGUGAGUAGGAUUACCUAAAAGCUAGGAACUCAAAGGAUAUUUAUAAGUUGCCUCUAUCCAAUGUCAAAUGAUAUGCAAUAUUAUCCAAAGAUUGAUAAUUCAAGCAAUAUCUAUAAGAUGUAUCGAUCCAAAAGAUAGGCAAGACUUACCCGAGGUCAUCUUAGAAGGAUUAUUGUCGAUAGCUGAAGAUGUUGUCCUUUCACAUACAAAAAUCAUGAUGGGUGAUCAAAAGGUCCUCCGCAUCAACAUAAGAUUAAACAGUUGCAGGGACCGCCUUACACAAAACGUGCUCGGUGUCCAAGAGGUCCACCACACUUCUAAGAAAUAUUCAAUCAAUGAAAGAGAUAUUUUAUUUAACAACAAGAGGGUUUUUGUAUUUUUUAUUACAAUUUAUUGCCCUCCAAUUAGGUACAUGAGAGAACAACUUCACUUUUCAGAUAACAACUCAUGCGAAGAUAUGUAAAAGACUAAAUACCUCAUUUGUGAAUUGUAUUUAUUACUAACAAUUUUUGUUUUAGGUAUUUUUGAGAGCAUCCGAGAGGAUGAAAAUAUCAAAUCAAAACCAUAGGUGUGGACGACCUCAAAAAGGAUGCAACACAAAUUGAAAAUUUUUCUUAGCGGCAAACCGAGACAUAUUUUGGAGAUGGACGUCAAACUCUUUGGACGCGAGAUAAAGGAUGAUUGUCACCACCAUCAAACCAAACCCCUAUUAGAAGGCAUAUGGGUAUUUUGGGAUAUUCUAGAUUCAUUUUUACUUUUCGGAUAUUCCUAAACUCAUACUGGAGGUAACCUCCUCUUUCUUUCUAAUUCAGGUGACAACAUACUCAAAGUUUUUGAAAUUAUAUCAUCGUAAGUUCUUUCCUAUGGAUUUGAGGAGCUCUAAAUUCAUUUUUAAGAGGUUACAAACCUCUUUUUCAUAGCUAAAAUAACUUGUCACUUAUCGCGAUCCAAAGAUCGUCUAAAAUAAUAAGUUAUCUCUUUUACCAACUGAAUUGAACUACAAGCAGUCUGAUUCUCAAGGUAUCGAGGAUAUGUAGGCUGGGAUCUAUAUUGUAAAAUGAAUUUCAUUCCAACCUUCCCCCAAUCCAUUUGGUCCCCAACUUUGCAGUUUCUGUAAAAUUCGAAAAGUGGGACAGCUUGUGAAUUUCCAGACGAUCGUGGUAAAAAAUAAGGCUUUAUGAACUACAAGUGACCUGAAUUCUCAUGUAAUUUGAGAUAUAUAGGAAAUUCGAUAGUGGGUUCAGGCCAUAAGUGCAUUAAACUUGUGCAAAAAGCAACCUCUUCUAGAAACGAAUUUGCAAUUGGACAAAAAUUAGGAAUGUCAAACUCCCUUUACCCAAUGUUACUUGCAUCCACCCUACACAAAGGAAGGGGACAGUUGUUGACACCUAAUUUUUUUCCUUCAUGACUAAGUUUAAUUUUAAGCUUUGUUCAAUUUUAAAUAAUAUUAUAAUGCUUAUUUUAUCCAAAUAAAAGCUUUCCAAAGUAUUUAUCUAGGUAAUUUUGCCAUUUUAAGUAAUGAAUAUAUAUUUGUAUUCGUAUAUACGAAAUCAUCUAAUUUGGUUACUUAAAUAAUUAUUUUAUGGAAAAUCAGAUUUUAAUCAAAGGUUAUCUUGAAAAUUAAUUUAAAUGACUAAAAUCCUAAUUUAAAUGUAAUUUGUUAUCAUAAAUAAUUUAUUUGGAAAAACCUUUGUUUCAUUUUCUUAAAUCAAAAAACUCAAAUUUAAAUUCAUUCAAUCCAAUUGAUUCAUUGAAUUUGGCCCUAAUUGAAAUCAAUUGAGCCACAAUUGUAGUACAAUUGACGAAUUAAUUUCCUUUUGGCCAAAAUCUAAAUGAGAUUGGUUAAAUUCCGAUCUAAUUUGGCUAUUUAAUAAAUGGCUUAAUAUACCCAUCUUUUUUUUUAUUAAAUUCAAAGACCCCAGGCCAUUUGCUUUAGCCAAUCCUUUAACUAAACCUAUCCAGUAGCCCAUUCUACAGGACCAAUACCAGUAAUCGACUCAGUUGACACUCCUUUUUUCCUUUAUAAUCAGACAACAUCGACAACAAAGUAACAACAUUAGCAUCGAAUAAACAACAUCUUCAGUGAACACGUAUAACUACAAUAAUUCACCAGCAACGACAAAACCUAAUAGACCCAAAAUCAUCCUAACUUUGACCUGUCCAGUAGCUUCAAUGAAGCUUCUAAAAAUCCGACGUGAACCGACCCAACAAUGAUCGAUUACAACUCAUAUAAACGACACCUCAUUCAUUAUACUUUCUUAUUUGAAUUUGUACUAUAUUAGUACAACACAUGGUUCCAAUAACCUCAAUCCCCAAGAAUUUUAUAUGAAUUUAAAAAAUCAAAUCAAUUCACCCCAAAACCCUAUGGAAUCUGUGGAAUAUUUUGAGAAUUUCCACUUGCCCCCUUCCCGUUCUUCAACGGUAUGAACAAGGACAAGAACCCCAUCUCUCACCAGCCAUUUAUUGAGAUUAAUUCAUAGCCAUGGGAUUUGGUUUUUUACCCAAAAUCCUACAUCGGUUGGAGCCCAAAAUUAAAGCCCGGUCAUUUUCUAUAAAAACUCAUUGUAAAGCUGAAAUUCCAAGUCUCAAGAAGGUUGAAAAAAGCCUUUUAAGCAUAAAGACUUGAAAAUUAUUUUUGACCAAGAGAAUUUUCAUUAGAAAUCCACUUAAUUAAAGUUUAAUUGGGUCGAUUUCGAGUUCUACGUGGUGGUCAAGUUCCUACGAUAGCCCGUAGUUCCAUUUUGAUGCCCAAAAAAUGGUAAACACACCAUUCCCUAUUAGUUCAUUUGCUAUUAUUCUUAUUCUUUAUCUCCUUCUUUGUAGUUUUAUAGUUGUAAUUAUAGUAAUGGUGGGAUUGUUUGUUGUAGAUGGCAUUAUAAUAUUUGCUUAUAAUGGUUGUUGCUAUGUUGUUUGUUGCAUCACUAUUUAUACUAUAACUUUUUUCCCAUUGUUAAUUUCGUAGGUUUCGGUUAGAUUGUUUUGAGUUUACUGUCUUAUGUUAAUGUCAUUGGCUGGAUAUUAAUGUUUUAGCAUCUAUUGUGGAUACUCUAUUUAGGAUAUUCUGUUUAGGUCGCGUUUUAAAUUCAACACUUUCUAUCGUGAGAUUUAGACCACUAUUUCAGUGUUAACUUUGUUUGGUGAAAAUCCAAUGUAUAGUUUUCUUUUGAUAUAUUGUUUAUUAGUUCGACUGUAAAACCAAUGCUCUAGUCAUAUAAUUAGUGUUUAUUUUUACCUUCAAAGUCACUGCAACAUCAAUUUUGUUAGUCAUCAGCAUAUUAUUUUUAUACUUGAACAUUAUGGUCUGGUUUUCUAUUUAUUUAGCUGAAUAUUUGUUGUCUUAAUUUCUAUAUGUUGCCUUAGUUCAAUAUUGCUAGUGAUUCGCCUUUUCUUUGCUUUGUAUCGUCUUUAUCUUUGAAUUUCAUGAUCAAAUAAAGACAUUCAUAAAGUUCCUAUUGACAAAAAAUAUCAAGAAAGGAUGAACGAUUUGUUAUAUAGGUCCUUUGUUUUGUUAAGAAUAAUACUUGAUGUGUUAACAUUUUUUGGAGUCAUAAUGCUAGUUUUGAUGUUCUGGUGUUAACUUGUUGAUGUUCAUGUUUUUUAGUUAUCAUAAAAAAUCCAUCUUUAUAUCCUUUGUUCUCAAAUUUCCGUCUUCAAAUAUUGUUGUAUGAAAAUGGAUUAAUUUUUUUUAUAUUCCCUUGUUAUUAAAAAUGCUUCUUUUGAUUUAUCACUCCCCUAUUUUCACCUAAGAGUUCUUGAUUUCAUUAUUUUGAAAUAAAAUUCUCGAUAGGGUUAAAAUUUGUCUCAUUAUUUUCAUCCUAACUUUUCAAGUCUCGUUUGUUUUUAUCAUCCCAUUUUAGCCAGGCUUGUUGUAACUCUAAUCCCAUGUUCUAGUUUGAUGUUGCUAGUUGUAAUUUAGGAUAUCAGUUUAUAAGAAGUUGUGUCAAUUUAAAUACAGUAUUUCGUAGUUAUUUUACUCAUCGUCUGAUUAUGUAAUCUGCUUGUUUAAACCAUUUUUUUCUUUCUUUCCUUUCCCAAUUCUUCUUUGAUUUUUGAAAAGCUAAACCUUGUUGAAUCUUAAUCACGUCUAAUAACCCUUAUAAUAUGGGAUUUUCAUGGUGCAAGUUUACUCGGUUUUGGUUUGAUCGUGUUCUUAUUUGUCACUUGUACCUCUCUUUGCCUAUUCAUUAAAUUUUCCUUAAAUUGUUCAGUUCAUAUCCUUAUUUUACCAAAGUUUUUUGUAGCCUUAAAAUAUAAUCAUUCAACUUUGGCUGCUCGAAAUCAUGAGAACUUCCUAUUUUAUCUUAUCCUUUUUAUUAAUUUGGAUUUCUUUGAUUGGUAUAUGCGUUCUCUUCAAUUUCAUGAAUUAUUGUCUCUUCUACAUUUAUGUGUUAGCCGCUAAUUUAGAACAUAUAUUAAUUCCUUUUAUCUUUUUCUUCGCAUGAAUCUGCUUUGGAGUCCAAAUAAACUCCUUCUCCUUUGUAUUUUGUAAUGGGCCUAUAAGGCCCCUUUUCGAGUCAAUUCCAAAAGGUCAAAAAGGAUGGGGUACAUGGCGUACAGGUGCAAGGAGGUGGAAGAAGAAAUGGGUCACAUCACAUUGAUGAAGUUACUAAGAGACUUGAAAGUCUCAAUUUUUUUUAUUAUUUUGUAUUUUAUCUAUUUUUGUUUAUUUAUUCACCCAUUUGGGACCUAAAGCAAUGUUAUAACUUAAUAUAGGUGAAGCAAACUUUAGGCCUUAAAGGAUCGAAAUUAAUUUAGGACAGGUUGUGGGCCAAAAACCUAAAUAAUUAGAUUAAGAUAGAUUGUGCGUUGAAAGCCCAUUUAGAUUAGGACAGAUUCAUUUAAGAGAUUUGGGCUUAAUGACCUAAGUCUUUUAGUUUCCCCCCUUUCCCUUUGCAUGCUAUUUGUUAAUAAUUUUCUUUAAUUUAGUUAUAAUUCCCGCUAAGUCGUCAAAACUUAUUUUGCACAAACCAUAAAACAAUUUUUUCCUUAAUUAGUUCAUUUUCUAAGUAAUACAAAAUCCUUUUUCAGAAUUAGUCAAAAAUGUUAUUUUUAAAUAGCUCAAAUAACCGCAAGUUAGUAGCCUACUCUUGGUGCCUUAAAAACCUUCCAUGGAUAUUAAUAAGAACCACUUAUUCAGAAUUUCUAAACUUAAAAUAUUUUUUUAUUUUGAUCCAUUUAAGUAAUUUUUAUAGGUUUUCUUGAUUUUCCAAAAUAAAUUAAGUGGUGACUGUGUUUUCAAAAAUCGAGUUUGAAAACUUUUUUCAAAGUAUUUGAAUUCGUAAAAUCACAGUAAUCAUCUUUUCUCCACAAAACACCACCAGUAAAGUUUCCUCAAGUCCCUAUACAUAUUAGUUAUCCUAGGGUGAAUAGUAUGUCUGGAGCUAUGAGCCUCGCGAAGAAUCAACUAACUAAAAUCUCCAACAUUUGGAGCACAAAUACAACCAUCAAACUUCUAAACACCCUCAAAAUCUAAGAUAGCCCUCCUGGACUCACCUCUCAACACUUUCCCUCAAAUGCUACGAAGUAUUCUAUCCUCAAACUAACGACUCUAAAUCAGCUCCAACAAGGAGAAUUUUGCCUCAACACUUGCAAUGAUCCUCUGAGGUCCAAAAAUAUCCAAACAAACCAUCAAGUUCGCUAAGGACUGGAUGUCCAAAGUCAACAACUACUGAGAAACUAAAAUGAAGGCUAAGCUACCCAUACUCACUAACGUUUGGCUUAAGGUGUCCGCUACCACUUUUGUCUUGCCCGAAUAGUAGAGAAUAGAGAUAUCAUAGUCCUUCAGCAACUCAAUCCAUCUACGUUGCUCGAAUUAAGUUAUUUUUAUGUCAUAAUAUACUGAAGACUGUGGUGAUCAGAAAAGAUCUCAUAACGAACCCCAUACAAAUAAUACCUCCAAAUCCUAUGCGUAAAUACUACUCUUGCAAACUCUAAGUCAUGAGUGGGAUAGUUGUACUCAUUCACCUUCAGGUACCUCAAUGUAAAUAUAAUAACACAGUCCACUACAUUGGAACACACCCCAGACCAACACUACAUGCAUCACAGUAGAUAGUAAAACCCUUUCCUUCAACUGGAAGAGUCAGAACAGGAGCUAAAGUUAGUAAAUCCUUGAUCUUUAGAAAGCUCAUCUCAUAACUCGCAGACCACUGAAAUGGAACCUCCUUCCUAGUCAAUCUAGUUAUAGGGGCUACAAUAGAAGAAAAACCCUCAAUGAACUACCUAUAGUAACCUGUCAACCCAAUAAAAUUGAGAACCUCAGUAGGUGACGUAGGCCUGGCCCAACUAUGAAUAGCCUUAAUCUUUGCAGAGUCCACCAUGAUAUCGUACUUGGACACUACGUGCCCCAAGAAAUCUACAGACUCAAGCUAGAUCUCAAAAUUUGAGAACUUGGCAUAAAGCUGAUGAUCUCUCAAAAUGUGGAGCAUAAUCCUUAAAUAUUGCUCGUGCUCCUUCUUACUCCUUAAAUAUACCAGAAUGAUAUCAAUAAAUACUAUCAUGAAGAAGUCCAAAUACGGCCUGAACACGUGGUUCAUCAGAUCCAUAAAAGUUGUUGGGGUAUUGGUCAGCCCAAAAGACAUCACUAGAAACUCAUAAUAACAGUAAUGAGUCUUGAAGGCUACCAUAGGGAUGUCUGUAGCCCUAACUCUCAACUGAUGGUAACAAGACCUCAAAUCUAUCUUGGAAAACACUAUUUUACCCUGAAGCUAGUCAAACAAAUCAUCAAUACGAGGCAUAGGAUAUAUAUUCUUCACAGUCACCUUAUUCAACUGUCUGUAGUCGACACACAUAUGCAUAGAGCCAUUUUUCUUCUUCACAAAUAGAACUGGAAUACCCUAUACACUUGAUCUGCUAAAACCCUUACCCAGAAAAUCUUGCAGCUAAUUAUUCAGCUCCUUUAGCUCAACAGGAUCCAUAUAAUAUAGAUCCAUAAAAAUAGGUUGGGUGUCUGGCUCGAGGUUAAUAAUAAACUCUAUAUCAAGCUCAAGAGAAAGGCUAGGUAGGUUUGUCAAAAACAUAUCAAGAAACUUGUGAAUAAUAGGAAUGGAGUCAAUCGAUGGACUAUGAAAACUAACAUGCCGAACAUAUGCAAUAAAUGACUCACAACCCCUUAAUAUCAGUCUCUUAGACCGAAUGUAAGAAAUAAUCCUUAUCAGUGCACGACUAAUAGAACCCUGCCACAUAACCGGAGGUGUGCUAGGCAAGGCUAAGGUAAUGAUCUUAGAAAAACAAUCCAUAAUCGCAUGGUAAAGAGAUAACCAAUACAUGCCUAGAAUCACAUCAAAAUCUACCAUAUCUAAGAUAGUAAGAUCAAUUAGAGCAUCAAACAUCGAAUAGUCACCAAACAAGAUCUAUAUACCUGAUCCGCUACUAAAGAAUCAGCAAUAGGGGUAGCUACACACAAUGGCACAGAUAAGGAAUACAAAAACCCAAUCGCGAUGCAAAAUAAGUAGAAACAUAUAAAAAUAUGGAAACGAGAUCAAACAAAGAAAAAGUUGGAUGAUGAUAUACAAAAAUCAUACCUGUGAUCACAACACCCGAAGCUUCAUCCUCUGGUCUACCUGGUAUAGCAUACAAAUGACCCUAUCCACUAUUAGACAGGGUGUCUAUUUGACCACCUAUCCUACCUUCCUACAGACCACCUCUAUAACCUUGGGGACCACCCCUACGACCUUGUGCACUACUCCUGGAUAGCGACUGUACUGAUCUAAGCGACUGUUUUGUCUAAACUAAGGCUCAAUCACCCCACGUUGGGGAUACUCACUACGAAAAUGCCUAACAAACCCACAUUCAUAACAUGCCUCAAGCAUCCUGUUCUAUCUAGAAGGUUCGAGGGAUCCAUAAUGACCACCCCUACUCGACGAUCUUGAUUGAACAUCCCUCUGCGGAUGACUACUUCUCUAGAAACUAGAACUAUAAUAACCAAGAUGAACCCUGUCUGAUAUUUGAAGCAAUAUCUGAACUAGAUGACUAGGCUGACCCUGAUACUGAUAAGGCUAUUGUGUACCUACUAUGAAACCCUCAACCUGUGACUUGUGAACCAUUGUGGCUUCCCCUUGGGCCUCACAAUCCAUCUCUUUUAUAUAAUAAAUGUGCUCAGAAAUAUUAGAAGAAGACUUUUCUAAAGUCACCAAACUCUAUAUCCCUACGAAGUAAUAAUCUCAAUCCCCUAAUAAAGCAUCAAAUCCGCUCAUACUCCAUAGGCAGAAUCAUACUGGCGUACCUAGCCAACUCGUCAAAUCUCACCUUAUUCUAAUACACAUACACAGAACCUUGUAUCAAAGCAGAAAACUUAUCUCGAAGAUACUCGUGCAUGUUGUGAGGCAUAUACUUCCCCAAGAAAACCUUAGUGAACUAAGUACAAGUCAUCGGUGGAAAUAUAGCUGGUAUAGAAUCAAGAUAAACUCUCCACUAUUUUUUGUUGUCGUGUAUAACUAAUAAGCAACAAAGUCCACUCCUCGUGACUCGACCAACCCCAAAUUUUAUAACCUCUCCUUGCAAUCGGUUGGGAACUCAUAAGCAUCUUCACUGGAGUCCUAGCAAACCUGGGUGGAGUCAAUCUCAAAAAGUAGUAAAGCAUCUUCUGCUCUUCUGAAUAUAUAACUAGUUGGGCUACUAUCGAUUAUGGACUACUGGUAUUGGCAGAACCUUCGCCCUUGUCAUUGCUACUGUAGGUUAUGCCCCUAAAUUAAUACCGUCCUUUGUCGUUGCUGAUCUUCCUCGGUUGGUGGACCGCCAACUAACCCCAAUAAAUUUACCAAUACAUCUCGAAGAAUUGCUGAAGAUAUAAACCAGGUGGAGCCUGGGUUACCCCAUGCCCUACCUGUUGCUGUACUAGUGGAAUACUUGGAGCUCUCACAGUAUCAGGAGCAAUGAUAAGAUCAAGUGAUGGAUCCCUGGCCUAAUCUCAAACGGGGGUUACUACUCUAUCCCAGCCCCGACCUCUAGGUAGACCUCAGCCUAUAACCAGAACUUUAACAACGAGCUCUGGGUCCUGAUCCCCAAGUCCUGUACCCCGCAUCCUAGCCAUCUACGUUAAGAGUCAACCAUUAAAGAUUAAAAACCAACUCAAACCCAACGCACAAAAAGGGAUCAAGAAAUAAAUCAAAGUUAAUCCAUUAUGUAUAUGCUCGGGUAUUGUAUAAGUUCGUGAUAAAAUAAACAUCAUAUCUUGAAUAUACCAUAAUUAAUAGAAAAUUAUUUCUAAUAAAAAAUGCUAUUAUAUAAUAAUAAUAUUUUAACAUAUCUAGAUUCAUCAUCUCUGCUUAAAAUAUUAACAAGUUAUAAAACUAUUUAUAAAGUAAUAUAAACAUAUUAUAACUAAAGAAUCUUAUAAAGAUUAAAAACAUUUUAGAAGGGUAAUAAAUUAUAUUUCUACUAAAUGCUAAUUUAGAGCACAUAUUCCACAAUAUAUUUGGUAUCACUAAAACUCUCAAAUGAACCGAUUGAAAGUCGAACUACCAAUCCAGCAAAUCAUAAAAAUGUGGGAUGGUUAUAGAAAAUCUGUAGACACCGAGAAUGUAUUAAAAAAAAAAGAAAAAUGACCAUGAGGGUCAUUAAAAAAUUCUCUGAAAUAAAAUUAUCGAUGGAUAAUUAUCAUCUAAAGUAGGCAUUGCACUUCCUACAUCUAAUUCCUUCAUUGAAGUUUGCUCAUCUAAUUGACUUAUAUUAAGACCAAAUGAUGGUGCUGAUUUCACUAAGUGACUAAAAUAUGUUUAGGAACAUUAAAUUUUAGAUGUAUUGGACUUGAAGAAAAUUGAAAAAAAAAACUAACCUUUUUGGGAAAAAAAAAAGAGUAGAAGCUUGUAAAUUGAGGAAGAAUUGAAGAAGAAGAUGACUUCUAUUCUAAAAUCUUCUAAAAUUGGGGAAA
Molecule: long non-coding RNA, 42145 nt
Filed under: Capsicum annuum
Lineage: Eukaryota; Viridiplantae; Streptophyta; Magnoliopsida; Solanales; Solanaceae
Description: long non-coding RNA (CANN_LNC001531)
Source: RNAcentral